GAUGAACGCUGACGGCGUGCCUAAUACAUGCAAGUCGAGCGAACGGACGAGAAGCUUGCUUCUCUGAUGUUAGCGGCGGACGGGUGAGUAACACGUGGAUAACCUACCUAUAAGACUGGGAUAACUUCGGGAAACCGGAGCUAAUACCGUAUAAUAUUUUGAACCGCAUGGUUCAAAAGUGAAAGACGGUCUUGCUGUCACUUAUCGAUGGAUCCGCGCUGCAUUAGCUAGUUGGUAAGGUAACGGCUUACCAAGGCAACGAUGCAUAGCCGACCUGAGAGGGUGAUCGGCCACACUGGAACUGAGACACGGUCCAGACUCCUACGGGAGGCAGCAGUAGGGAAUCUUCCGCAAAGGGCGAAAGCCUGACGGAGCAACGCCGCGUGAGUGAUGAAGGUCUUCGGAUCGUAAAACUCUGUUAUUAGGGAAGAACAUAUGUGUAAGUAACUGUGCACAUCUUGACGGUACCUAAUCAGAAAGCCACGGCUAACUACGUG
Molecule: ribosomal RNA, 497 nt
Filed under: uncultured bacterium
Lineage: Bacteria
Description: partial 16S ribosomal RNA
Rfam family: Bacterial small subunit ribosomal RNA
Source: RNAcentral